CCUACGGGAGGCAGCAGUGGGGAAUAUUGCACAAUGGGGGAAACCCUGAUGCAGCGACGCCGCGUGAGUGAAGAAGUAAUUCGGUAUGUAAAGCUCUAUCAGCAGGGAAGAAAAUGACGGUACCUGAGUAAGAAGCCCCGGCUAACUACGUGCCAGCAGCCGCGGUAAUACGUAGGGGGCAAGCGUUAUCCGGAUUUACUGGGUGUAAAGGGAGCGUAGACGGCAGUGCAAGUCUGGAGUGAAAGGCGGGGGCGCAACCCCCGGACUGCUCUGGAAACUGUACGGCUAGAGUGCAGGAGAGGUAAGUGGAAUUCCUAGUGUAGCGGUGAAAUGCGUAGAUAUUAGGAGGAACACCAGUGGCGAAGGCGGCUUACUGGACUGUAACUGACGUUGAGGCUCGAAAGCGUGGGGAGCAAACAGGAUUAGAUACCCGGGUAGUC
RNAcentral lists this ribosomal RNA (440 nucleotides) under uncultured bacterium. RNAcentral's name for it is "partial 16S ribosomal RNA". It matches the Rfam family "Bacterial small subunit ribosomal RNA", at positions 338 to 795 of the family's 1533-position model. The record is from RNAcentral.